RNAcentral lists this ribosomal RNA (783 nucleotides) under uncultured fungus. Its description in RNAcentral is "eukaryotic LSU rRNA". It matches the Rfam family "Eukaryotic large subunit ribosomal RNA", at positions 30 to 821 of the family's 3401-position model. Lineage: Eukaryota; Fungi. The record is from RNAcentral.
GAACUUAAGCAUAUCAAUAAGCGGAGGAAAAGAAACUAACAAGGAUUCCCCUAGUAACGGCGAGUGAAGCGGGAACAGCUCAAAUUUGAAAUCUCAGCGCAAGCUGCGAAUUGUAGUUUAGAGAAACGUUUUCGGGGCCGGCAGCCAGUACAAGUUCUUUGGAACAAGGCAUCACAGAGGGUGAAAAUCCCGUCUUUGACUGGCUGCUUGGUUCCAUGUGAUACGUUUUCCAAGAGUCGGUUUGUUUGGGAAUGCAGACCAAAAUGGGUGGUAAAUACCAUCUAAAGCUAAAUAUUGGCGAGAGACCGAUAGCGAACAAGUACCGUGAGGGAAAGAUGAAAAGAACUUUGAAAAGAGAGUUAAACAGUGCGUGAAAUUGUCAAAAGGGAAACGUUUAAAACCAGUAUUGCGGGCAGAAACUCAGGUUCCAUUUAUGGUGCUGUAUUUUUCUGUCGGCGAGUCAACAUCAGUUUUGCUUGGAGUAAAACGCCAGGGGAAGGUAGCCUUCGGGUGUUAUAGCCUCUGGUAAUGCUCUGGGCGGGACUGAGGACUGCAGCGUUCUUUGGGUUUACCACACCAACGCUUAGGAUGUUGACGAAAUGGUUUUAAGCGACCCGUCUUGAAACACGGACCAAGGAGUCUAACAUAUAUGCGAGUAUUUGGGCGGCAAACCCUUAUGCGUAAUGAAAGUGAAAAGGUGGGAUCCUUUGCUGGUGCACCAUCGACCGCGCCAGAUUAUUGCUAUCUCGGCGUGAGUAUGAGCAUACAUGUUGGGACCCGAAA